Molecule: non-coding RNA, 212 nt
Organism: Pelobates cultripes (western spadefoot toad)
Lineage: Eukaryota; Metazoa; Chordata; Amphibia; Anura; Pelobatidae
Source: the annotation of a GenBank genome assembly
CUGUGUAUGUGUGAUGUAAUGUAUCAAACGCCUGUGCACUCGACGUUGUGUUCCAUGGGCAGACUUGGUAUGUUAUGCAUGAGAAGGGCUCAAGAACCGAGCCAAAAAACAUUGCUUUGACAAGCAGUGACUGCAAACAAAUUUAAAGGGAGAACCAUUCAAAUAAAAUAAACUGAUAAGUUGGUGAAAGCUAGACUGUAUUGUAAUGUAAU